RNAcentral lists this ribosomal RNA (460 nucleotides) under uncultured bacterium. Its description in RNAcentral is "partial 16S ribosomal RNA". It matches the Rfam family "Bacterial small subunit ribosomal RNA", at positions 338 to 795 of the family's 1533-position model. The record is from RNAcentral.
CCUACGGGAGGCUGCAGUGAGGAAUAUUGGUCAAUGGACGAGAGUCUGAACCAGCCAAGUAGCGUGAAGGAUGACUGCCCUAUGGGUUGUAAACUUCUUUUAUAAAGGAAUAAAACGAGGCACGUGUGCCUUUUUGCAUGUACUUUAUGAAUAAGGAUCGGCUAACUCCGUGCCAGCAGCCGCGGUAAUACGGAGGAUCCGAGCGUUAUCCGGAUUUAUUGAGUUUAAAGGGAGCGUAGAUGGGUUGUUAAGUCAGUUGUGAAAGUUUGCGGCUCAACCGUAAAAUUGCAAUUGAUACUGGCAGCCUUGAGUACAGUUGAGGUAGGCGGAAUUCGUGGUGUAGCGGUGAAAUGCUUAGAUAUCACACAGAACACCGAUUGCGAAGGCAGCUUGCUAGGCCGGAUCUGACACUGAUGCACGAAAGCGUGGGGAUCGAACAGGAUUAGAUACCCGGGUAGUC